RNAcentral lists this ribosomal RNA (466 nucleotides) under uncultured bacterium. RNAcentral's name for it is "partial 16S ribosomal RNA". It matches the Rfam family "Bacterial small subunit ribosomal RNA", at positions 28 to 507 of the family's 1533-position model. The record is from RNAcentral.
GAUGAACGCUGGCGGCGUGCUUAACACGUGCAAGUCGAACGAUGAAGCCCAGCUUGCUGGGUGGAUUAGUGGCGAACGGGUGAGUAACACGUGAGUAACCUGCCCUUGACUCUGGGAUAAGCCUGGGAAACUGGGUCUAAUACUGGAUAUGACUUCUCAUCGCAUGGUGGGGGGUGGAAAGAUUUAUUGGUCUUGGAUGGACUCGCGGCCUAUCAGCUUGUUGGUGAGGUAAUGGCUCACCAAGGCGACGACGGGUAGCCGGCCUGAGAGGGUGACCGGCCACACUGGGACUGAGACACGGCCCAGACUCCUACGGGAGGCAGCAGUGGGGAAUAUUGCACAAUGGGCGCAAGCCUGAUGCAGCGACGCCGCGUGAGGGAUGACGGCCUUCGGGUUGUAAACCUCUUUCAGUAGGGAAGAAGCGAGAGUGACGGUACCUGCAGAAGAAGCGCCGGCUAACUACGUG